AAGAGUAAGGGUCUUCUAGGCCCGACCUCCCAACCCUUUGUUUACCAAACCAUUGUUGCUUCGGCGGGCCCGUCCCAGGACCGCCGGAGGACCGUCAAACGUCCUCUGGCCCGCGCCCGUCGAUGGCCCCUAUCAUUAAACUCUGAACCAAACGUGUCCUGUCUGAGUGAUUAUUAUCAAAAAUUAAAGCA
RNAcentral lists this unclassified non-coding RNA (191 nucleotides) under uncultured fungus. Its description in RNAcentral is "sequence contains ITS1, 5.8S rRNA gene". RNAcentral also lists the same sequence under 1 other name. The record is from RNAcentral. Lineage: Eukaryota; Fungi.